AUGUGGGAGCACCCAAGGGAGUUCAGGCCGGAGAGGUUUGAGGAUGGAAAGGCUGAACGGCUGUUCAUGAUACCCUUCGGAAUGGGGAGGCGGAAGUGCCCCGGAGAGGCAAUGGCUUUACGGACGAUAGGGCAGGUUCUUGGGGCACUUAUAUAG
RNAcentral lists this ribosomal RNA (156 nucleotides) under Triticum aestivum (bread wheat). RNAcentral describes it as "partial small subunit ribosomal RNA". The record is from RNAcentral. Lineage: Eukaryota; Viridiplantae; Streptophyta; Magnoliopsida; Poales; Poaceae.